This 564-nucleotide ribosomal RNA is filed under the name uncultured Acidobacteriota bacterium. RNAcentral's name for it is "bacterial SSU rRNA". It matches the Rfam family "Bacterial small subunit ribosomal RNA", at positions 335 to 915 of the family's 1533-position model. The record is from RNAcentral. Lineage: Bacteria; Pseudomonadati; Acidobacteriota.
ACUCCUACGGGAGGCAGCAGUGGGGAAUUGUUCGCAAUGGGCGCAAGCCUGACGACGCAACGCCGCGUGGAGGAUGAAGUCCUUUGGGACGUAAACUCCUUUCGACCAAGACGAUGAUGACGGUACUGGUGGAAGAAGCCCCGGCUAACUCCGUGCCAGCAGCCGCGGUAAUACGGGGGGGGCAAGCGUUGUUCGGAAUUACUGGGCGUAAAGGGCUCGUAGGUGGCCAACUAAGUCAGACGUGAAAUCCCUCGGCUUAACCGGGGAACUGCGUCUGAUACUGGAUGGCUGGAGUUUGGGAGAGGGAUGCGGAAUUCCAGGUGUAGCGGUGAAAUGCGUAGAUAUCUGGAGGAACACCGGUGGCGAAGGCGGCAUCCUGGACCAACACUGACGCUGAGGAGCGAAAGCCAGGGGAGCAAACGGGAUUAGAUACCCCGGUAGUCCUGGCCCUAAACGAUGAAUGCUUGGUGUGGCGGGUAUCGAUCCCUGCCGUGCCGAAGCUAACGCAUUAAGCAUUCCGCCUGGGGAGUACGGUCGCAAGGCUGAAACUUAAAGGAAUUGACG